Long non-coding RNA from Myotis davidii, 113 nucleotides. RefSeq lists it as uncharacterized. NCBI's taxonomy places the organism in Eukaryota, Metazoa, Chordata, Mammalia, Chiroptera, Vespertilionidae. The transcript has 3 exons. The record is from RefSeq and is a predicted model, not a curated record.
UGCAUUUUUUACAAAUUGAAGGCAAUACCCUCCACCAGCAAAAAGAUUAUGACUCACUUUAUUGCAGCGGUCUGGAACGUGAACCUGCAAUAUCUUAAGCCAUGCAAUGACAU